This 433-nucleotide ribosomal RNA is filed under the name uncultured bacterium. RNAcentral describes it as "partial 16S ribosomal RNA". It matches the Rfam family "Bacterial small subunit ribosomal RNA", at positions 29 to 507 of the family's 1533-position model. The record is from RNAcentral.
AGCGAACGCUGGCGGCAGGCCUAACACAUGCAAGUCGAACGAACUCUUCGGAGUUAGUGGCGGACGGGUGAGUAACACGUGGGAACGUGCCUUUUGGUUCGGAAUAACUCAGGGAAACUUGUGCUAAUACCGAAUGUGCCCUUCGGGGGAAAGAUUUAUCGCCAUUAGAGCGGCCCGCGUCUGAUUAGCUAGUUGGUGAGGUAACGGCUCACCAAGGCUACGAUCAGUAGCUGGUCUGAGAGGAUGACCAGCCACACUGGGACUGAGACACGGCCCAGACUCCUACGGGAGGGAGCAGAGGGGAAUCUUGCGCAAUGGGCGAAAGCCUGACGCAGCCAUGCCGGGUGAAUGAUGAAGGUCUUAGGAUUGUAAAAUUCUUUCACCGGGGACGAUAAUGACGGUACCCGGAGAAGAAGCCCCGGCUAACUUCGUG